CAAGGGGUAGUUUAGUUAGAAUUUCAGCUUUGGGUGCUGAAGGUGAGGUUAGGAUGCCUUCUCCUUGA
RNAcentral lists this transfer RNA (68 nucleotides) under Platyrrhinus matapalensis. RNAcentral describes it as "tRNA-Pro". It matches the Rfam family "tRNA". Rfam says of the family: Transfer RNA (tRNA) molecules are approximately 80 nucleotides in length. Their secondary structure includes four short double-helical elements and three loops (D, anti-codon, and T loops). The record is from RNAcentral. Lineage: Eukaryota; Metazoa; Chordata; Mammalia; Chiroptera; Phyllostomidae.